Long non-coding RNA from Peromyscus leucopus (white-footed mouse), 2058 nucleotides. RefSeq lists it as uncharacterized. Lineage: Eukaryota; Metazoa; Chordata; Mammalia; Rodentia; Cricetidae. The record is from RefSeq and is a predicted model, not a curated record. The transcript has 3 exons.
AUCCCAGGGAAGCUGGCUCCCAGCCAUUCACCCAGCACAGCAGCAGGGACCCCAGACAUAGUUUCCAGCUGCGGGAGUCUUUAGAAGGGACAGGCCUCAUGUGACUCUCUCCACUUGCCAUCAAGCAGCUGUGGUACAAAGACGUCACUUCUCUGAGCUCACUCUCCUCAUCUACAAUAUAACUGGGGAUAUCACACCUGAUCUUUCAGACCUAGUGCACAGCGCCGUGGCCUCCCUGGGGCCGGCCCCAUAAAGGGUUUCUGUUCGGGCUGGAGGACUCAUUGUCGAAAAAUUGUCCCUCAAAAAAUUAGCAUGGUACGGUGGAGAAAGCAGAGCGCCUGGCGAAUGACAGCUGCUGGCCCCGGACGAGGGCCAGAGAGAGGAGUUUUGCAAGGUGCCACAUCCGAAAGGCACCUGUCAACCCAGGCCUGGAGUGGCCCAAGGGGUGGCAGGUAAGGGUCUCACGCCGAACCCAGAGAUCAUCGAUUCCACCGGGCCGGCAGGCAGUGAGCUCCAGGGAAGCUCCUGUCUUCGCCUUAUGCUUGUGAGGCAGGCACUUUUCCAGCUGAAUCUGAAUCGUCUUCCCGGCCCCCAGAGCCCCCCGCUCCGAACUUCUAAUCUGCUGAUCUCAACCUCCCCAGGGACGGGAUUAGAGGCGGGCGCCACCGUACCUGGUUAAUGCCUGGCAUGCUCCAACCCUGGACUUGGCGCGUGCUAGACAAGCAUCCUACCAACAGAGGGCUAUUUUCCCUGGCCCCAGUCCCCUCCUUUCUGAACAAGCAAGGAAAAGACACCAAGGAAUCCAGAAUCCGAGCCCCCUAAGGUUACACGCUAACCCCUAGCUUUGUGACCCGGACCACGUGACUACCCUGCCAGAGAUGAUGUCCAGGUCCAAAGUAAAGACUGUUUUAAGGGUUGAGUGAGGUCCUGUGCGAAGGGAGGGGGGGGGAGUCUGCAUACCCUGGCCCGCCUGGGACAGUCUCACAUGACACCUGUGGUCCCAGCAUAAUUAUCCACGGUGCCCUACACUCGCCGAAGUGUCCCAGUUUGGAUGAUGAGUUCUAUGGCUGUCCCAAAUAUAAGUGGGGCUGCAAGGAGUGUUUCUUCCCAUCUCUGCCUCUUCCCGCUCUGCUGGGCCACUGUCUGCGAAAACCUUCCUCUGUGUGUGUGUGUGUGUGUGUGUGUGUGAUGUGGAUGUAGUCCUGUGUGUGAGUCGGGCACAUGUGUGCCGUGGAGCACAUAUGAAGGUCUGAGGACUGCCUCUCAGGUGUUACUUCACAUCUUCCUCUGUGUCAUUUUGUCAUGGGGCCACUGGGUACUCCAGGCCUGUGAAUUUCUACGGUCUCCUGUCUCUGGUCCUGCCUCGCCUGGCUUUAUGGGCGAUCUAGGGAUCUGAACCCAGGUCCCUAUGUUUGCACAACGAGCUGCCUCCCCCGCCCUCUGUGUUAUUACUGAGGCAUCACUUCAAGGCUCCAUCAUGCCAUGCACUCCUGAGAGGACUUCCUGGGGCCGGUGGGAUUCCUUCCUCUCCAUUCUUUCCAGUCCUUUUCACAGGACACCUAAACAUACAACAGAUACUGGAUGACUUGGUGCCUGCCCAAGACCAGAGUGGCCCCCCAGAUUCUGGGUGCAGGCGACUACUCUCUGCCCACUGGCUUAAAGCAGAAAGCUUCUAGACUUGGGGUCACUCAUGGAUGUGGGGAUCUACUGUGAGACAGUAGUGGAGGGUCACAUUUAUCCCCUGUUUGUCACAAUCAGUUCGGGGUGUGGGCCAGGACUCACUCUGCCCCAGACCCUCAACAUCCAGGUUUGAUAUUUCCAUAUUGCCCCGACUCACCUUUUCACCUAAGGGCAGACAGUCCCCCUCCAUGUCCUGGGCUCUAUAUAACCAGGGCAUGCUGCAGUCCAAGCUGAUGACGUAGUUGUCAUUCGAUGUGGCCAACUGAGUAUGUGCAUUUGUCUAUAUUCACACAACUGUAGAGUGAGUGUCAAAAGCAUGGCAUGGUGGCACAUUCCCUUAAUCUCAGCACUUGGGAUACAGAGGCAGGUGGAUCUUGU